GCCGAUGUAGCUCAGUUGGUAGAGCGGCUCAUUCGUAAUGAGUAGGUCGGCGGUUCGAAUCCGCCCAUUGGCUCCA
This 76-nucleotide transfer RNA is filed under the name Cycloclasticus sp. symbiont of Poecilosclerida sp. M. RNAcentral's name for it is "tRNA-Thr". It matches the Rfam family "tRNA". Rfam says of the family: Transfer RNA (tRNA) molecules are approximately 80 nucleotides in length. Their secondary structure includes four short double-helical elements and three loops (D, anti-codon, and T loops). Further hydrogen bonds mediate the characteristic L-shaped molecular structure. tRNAs have two regions of fundamental functional importance: the anti-codon, which is responsible for specific mRNA codon recognition, and the 3' end, to which the tRNAs corresponding amino acid is attached (by aminoacyl-tRNA synthetases). tRNAs cope with the degeneracy of the genetic code in two manners: having more than one tRNA (with a specific anti-codon) for a particular amino acid; and 'wobble' base-pairing, i.e. permitting non-standard base-pairing at the 3rd anti-codon position. The record is from RNAcentral. Lineage: Bacteria; Pseudomonadati; Pseudomonadota; Gammaproteobacteria; Thiotrichales; Piscirickettsiaceae.